Molecule: ribosomal RNA, 497 nt
Filed under: uncultured bacterium
Lineage: Bacteria
Description: partial 16S ribosomal RNA
Rfam family: Bacterial small subunit ribosomal RNA
Source: RNAcentral
GACGAACGCUGGCGGCGUGCCUAAUACAUGCCAGUUGAGCGAUGAAGAUUGGUGCUUGCACCAAUUUGAAGAGCAGCGAACGGGUGAGUAACGCGUGGGGAAUCUGCCUUUGAGCGGGGGACAACAUUUGGAAACGAAUGCUAAUACCGCAUAACAACUUUAAACAUAAGUUUUAAGUUUGAAAGAUGCAAUUGCAUCGCUCAAAGAUGAUCCCGCGUUGUAUUAGCUAGUUGGUGAGGUAAAGGCUCACCAAGGCGAUGAUACAUAGCCGACCUGAGAGGGUGAUCGGCCACAUUGGGACUGAGACACGGCCCAAACUCCUACGGGAGGCAGCAGUAGGGAAUCUUCGGCAAUGGACGAAAGUCUGACCGAGCAACGCCGCGUGAGUGAAGAAGGGUUUCGGAUCGUAAAACUCUGUUGGUAGAGAAGAACGUUGGUGAGAGUGGAAAGCUCAUCAAGUGACGGUAACUACCCAGAAAGGGACGGCUAACUACGUG